This 252-nucleotide ribosomal RNA is filed under the name uncultured bacterium. RNAcentral's name for it is "partial 16S ribosomal RNA". It matches the Rfam family "Bacterial small subunit ribosomal RNA", at positions 525 to 776 of the family's 1533-position model. The record is from RNAcentral.
ACGGAGGGUGCGAGCGUUAAUCGGAAUUACUGGGCGUAAAGAGUACGUAGGCGGCUUGGUCAGUCGGAUGUGAAAGCCCCGGGCUUAACCUGGGAAUUGCACUCGAUACUGCCAAGCUAGAAUUUAGUAGAGGAAUGCGGAAUUCCGGGUGUAGCGGUGAAAUGCGUAGAGAUCCGGAGGAACAUCAAUGGCGAAGGCAGCAUUCUGGGCUAAAAUUGACGCUGAGGUACGAAAGCGUGGGGAGCAAACAGG